Molecule: ribosomal RNA, 593 nt
Filed under: uncultured fungus
Lineage: Eukaryota; Fungi
Description: eukaryotic LSU rRNA
Rfam family: Eukaryotic large subunit ribosomal RNA
Source: RNAcentral
AUAUCAAUAAGCGGAGGAAAAGAAACCAACAGGGAUUGCCUCAGUAACGGCGAGUGAAGCGGCAACAGCUCAAAUUUGAAAUCUGGCCUUUACGGUUCGAGUUGUAAUUUGUAGAGGAUGUUUUGGGUACCGCCGCGGUUUAAAUUUCUUGGAACAGAAUGUCAGAGAGGGUGAGAGUCCCGUCUUGGAUCGCGGUAGGGCCUGUGUAAAACUCCUUCGACGAGUCGACUUGUUUGGGAAUGCAGGUCAAAAUGGGUGGUAAAUUUCAUCUAAAGCUAAAUAUUGGCCAGAGACCGAUAGCGCACAAGUAGAGUGAUCGAAAGAUGAAAAGCACUUUGAAAAGAGAGUUAAACAGUAUGUGAAAUUGUUGAAAGGGAAGCGCUGGCAACCAGACUCGUGCGCGGGGUUCCCCCUUGCUUCUGCUUGGGUUACUUCCCCGUGUCCGGGCCAUCAUCAGUUUUGGGGGCCGGUUAAAGGUCUUGGGAAUGUAUCUACCCCUUCGGGAGUAGACUUAUAGCCCAGGGCGUGCAUGCGGCCACCCGGGACUGAGGAACGCGCUUCGGCGAGGAUGAUGGCGUAAUGGUUGUCAGCGA